Molecule: transfer RNA, 83 nt
Filed under: Actinomycetota bacterium
Lineage: Bacteria; Bacillati; Actinomycetota
Description: Actinobacteria bacterium tRNA-Leu
Rfam family: tRNA
About the family: Transfer RNA (tRNA) molecules are approximately 80 nucleotides in length. Their secondary structure includes four short double-helical elements and three loops (D, anti-codon, and T loops). Further hydrogen bonds mediate the characteristic L-shaped molecular structure. tRNAs have two regions of fundamental functional importance: the anti-codon, which is responsible for specific mRNA codon recognition, and the 3' end, to which the tRNAs corresponding amino acid is attached (by aminoacyl-tRNA synthetases). tRNAs cope with the degeneracy of the genetic code in two manners: having more than one tRNA (with a specific anti-codon) for a particular amino acid; and 'wobble' base-pairing, i.e. permitting non-standard base-pairing at the 3rd anti-codon position.
Source: RNAcentral
GCGAGAGUGGCGGAAUUGGCAGACGCGCCGGCCUUAGGAGCCGGUGUCCUUAGGACGUGGGGGUUCGAGUCCCCCCUCUCGCA